UUUGAGGAGCUCAAAUUAAUUUAGAUCCCCAACACCCACAGACUCUGUUUACAGCUAGAGAAUCAAACACUGAUGUCAAAUAACUUGCCAAAAGUCAGAGAAAGAUUGUGGCAGGGCCAAGAACAGGCCAGAUGGUGCAGCCACUUCUCUGCAGUUGAAUCCAUCACAUGUCACACAGGGGUAGGGGAGAAAGACCCUCAGGGCACCUCAGACAAUAAGGUCAAGGGCGCUACACCCGGCUGGGCAGGGGAACAGGCAGCGUUGGGGCAGCCUGGUGUAGACCCCGGCCCCCCGGCUCUCAGCCCUCGGGGCCCCAGGAUGACAAGCUACCCCCAGGCCCCUCCCCAGCCCAGGGGGGUGCGAGGGGCCAAGUGCCCAGGCCGGAAAGGGCUGACCCGCCUCCAGGCGGCAUCCCCGGGAGAGCGGGGUCCGCAAGCAGGCGGGCGCGGCCGGAUGACCCAAGCCCCCCGAGGCGCAGGCAGCGCAGCCCCUGCAGGGGACCCGGGCCGCACGUGCCCGCGACGGGCAAGAGCCGCAGCACAGUGCCCGCCACUAGGCGGCUCCGGCGCUCCCCCGGCAGGCCCCUCCCUCCUCCAUCGGACAAGGAGCCGCGCUGGGGGCGGGGGGGACAAGACAGCCGCCCCCCCCCCCCAUUUCCUAGCUCCAGUGCUAGGGGGGAGGGGCGCUGCGCACCGCGGCUGCCGGGUCGCCUACCUGCCGCGGCUGGGCUCCCACCUGCGGGGGCGCUGCUCGGCUCCCUCACGGCCCCGUCCCGUCCGGCCGCCGCAGCGGGCUGGGGAAAGGUUUAUAAGCCGCGAGCCUCGACGUCACGUUACCCGCUCCCGACCUACCCCGGAGGCAGAGGGAGAGUCGGCCCCCGCCCCCGCCCCUCGGAACGGUGGCUGGAGGGAGCCUCCGCGCGGCGCCGGGAACAACAUUCAGUCUGGUACGAUCACUAGAUCUGAAGCUGUGUCCAUGGCGCUCAGAAUGCAUGGCAAGCUGCAGGUGACCAUGCAGACAGAGCUCAUCAGCAGAGGUGACCAUGAUGGAGUCCCAGAAUUGCAAGAGCUCCAGCAUGGACUGAACAGGAGGAACGGGAUCUGAUUGCUGUAUGGGGAGAGGAAUCCAUGCUAUCAGAACUCCGUUCCAGUUUUUGAAAUGCCAAAACCUUUGUCAAAAUCUCCCAGGGCAUGAAGGACAGAGGCCAUAACAGGGACCCGAAGCAGUGCCGCGUGAAACUGAAGGAGCUGAGGCAAGCCUACCAGAAAACCAGAGAGGCGAACGGCCGCUCCGGGUCAGAGCCCCAAACAUGCUGCUUCUAUGAUGAGCUGCAUGCCAUUUUAGAGGGUUCAGCCACCACUACCCCAGCCGUGUUGUUUGACUCCUUCAGUGGAGAUGGAGGCAACACGGAAGCAGGUUUUGGGGACGAAGAAGAUGAUAGCUCACAGCAAGCAAGUGGAGAAACCAGUUUUCCUGACAGCCAGGAACUGUUUCUCACCCUGGACCUGGAGCCAGUACCCCCCGAACCCACCCAAGGCUGCCUCCUGGACCCGGCAGGCGGAGAAGGGACCUCCGCUGCAUGUGUUUCAAUGAUCACAGGAUCUUCUCCUUCCCAGAGGCUAGUGAAGAUUAGAAAGAAAAAAAAAACGCACUCGUGAUGAAAUGCUCUCUGAGCUCAUGCUGUCCUCCCACACUGACAGAGCACAGACGAAUGCUUGGAGGCAAAUAAUGUCAGAGUGCAGGAAAGCACAAAAUGACCGGGAGGAGAGGUGGCGGGCUGAAGACAGGGCUGAAGCUCAAAUGUGGCGGCAGCGUGAUGAGAGGAGGCAGGAUUCAAUGCUCAGGCUGCUGGAGGAUCAAACCAGUGUGCUCCAGUGUAUGGUUGAGCUGCAGCAAAGGCAGCUGGAGCACAGACUGCCACUACAGCCCCUGUGUAACCAACUGCCCUCCUCCCCAAGUUCCAUAGCCUCCACACUCAGACGCCCAAGAACGCGGUGGGGGGCCUCCGGCCAACCAGCCACUCCACCACAGAGGAUUGCCCAAAAAAUAGAAGGCUGACAUUCAAUAAAUUUUAAAGUUGUAAACUUUUAAAGUGCUGUGUGUCAUUUUCCUUCCCUCC
Non-coding RNA from Caretta caretta (loggerhead turtle), 2119 nucleotides. The record is from RefSeq and is a predicted model, not a curated record. NCBI's taxonomy places the organism in Eukaryota, Metazoa, Chordata, Testudines, Cheloniidae.